Molecule: non-coding RNA, 24 nt
Filed under: Arabidopsis thaliana (thale cress)
Lineage: Eukaryota; Viridiplantae; Streptophyta; Magnoliopsida; Brassicales; Brassicaceae
Source: RNAcentral
AGAUCCGCCCUUGCAUGUAGUUAG